GAGUUUGAUCGUGGCUCAGGAUGAACGCUAGCGGCAGGCUUAACACAUGCAAGUCGAGGGGUAGAGUUAGCUUGCUAACUUGAGACCGGCGCACGGGUGCGUAACGCGUAUGCAAUCUACCUUGUACAGGGGGAUAGCCCAGAGAAAUUUGGAUUAAUACCCCAUAGUGUUAUGAUGUGGCAUCACAUUAUAACUAAAGUUCCAACGGUACAAGAUGAGCAUGCGUCCCAUUAGCUAGUUGGUGUGGUAACGGCAUACCAAGGCAACGAUGGGUAGGGGUCCUGAGAGGGAGAUCCCCCACACUGGUACUGAGACACGGACCAGACUCCUACGGGAGGCAGCAGUGAGGAAUAUUGGUCAAUGGGCGCAAGCCUGAACCAGCCAUGCCGCGUGCAGGAUGACGGUCCUAUGGAUUGUAAACUGCUUUUGUACAGGAAGAAACACUCCCCUCGUGAGGGAGCUUGACGGUACUGUAAGAAUAA
This 482-nucleotide ribosomal RNA is filed under the name uncultured Flavobacterium sp. Its description in RNAcentral is "bacterial SSU rRNA". It matches the Rfam family "Bacterial small subunit ribosomal RNA", at positions 9 to 489 of the family's 1533-position model. Lineage: Bacteria; Pseudomonadati; Bacteroidota; Flavobacteriia; Flavobacteriales; Flavobacteriaceae. The record is from RNAcentral.